RNAcentral lists this long non-coding RNA (1964 nucleotides) under Cricetulus griseus (Chinese hamster). RNAcentral's name for it is "lncRNA (ENSCGRG00015031246.1)". The record is from RNAcentral. Lineage: Eukaryota; Metazoa; Chordata; Mammalia; Rodentia; Cricetidae.
UAGUUGGUACUUAGGUUUAUCUAGUUUGUAUUUUUCCCUGGAGGGAAAAUAAUUUGGUCCUAGAGCAUAUUGGGUGGGGUGCUUGACGAAAUGUGAGUUAAAGAAUACAUCCUUUGGCAGAAGGGACACAUCUUACUAUUGAAAAUGUAAACUGAGUACUUAUGGGAUGGAAGAUGAGGGUUACUGGGGAGAAGAUUGAUUGGCACUCUUGGUAGUUGAUUCGCCCAUUGACUUUUUGCUUCUGUUUCUUGAUGUGCCUUUCUAGAAGCCAUUUGUUGCUGUUGGAUUACGAUUUCAGUGCUCCUACACUGCCUUCCUGGACAGUUAUUCCAUAGGUGGCAUUCACAUCAUCCAGACUCCUCCAUUGUCUUGCUUGUUUUUCGCCAUUAUACUUAGGGAAUGUUCUGGAAAUGCAACAUCCUGAGGUUAGGAGGGAGAUGCAUAGAACAUUCUAGGCUCAGUUCUAGCUUUUCAUAGAACAAGGUUUUCACCACAUUCUCACAGUCAGUAAUAUGACCAUGGAGACAUAAAUUCCAAUGCACUUUGCUUUUGGGGAACUUCUCAUCUGGUAUAAGUGGAACAGUCAAGGCCUCAUCUACUCCAGGAAGUUUUCUGGGCUAAGACUUAGAGCAAAUUCUUGACUUCUGUUGUGUCUUGCUGCCUAUCUGAAAGUAAUAAAACUGCUUCAUGUAAAUUCAUCUACAUGUGGGUAUUCUGUUUCAUCAGAUAGAUGAGUUGAUAAUCAGUACACAAUGAAAUGGCUUCAUACUUCCUGCUAUCUGAAGUCCUUAAGCAUGAGAAGGAAUGAUUGAUGGCGUGUGAGUGAGUGGUGCCUGUCAAAUCCACAAACAAGACUGCUGCAAUUCAUUGUUAGCUCGGCCAAGUUAACAAUGGUUGCACAGCGCAGGACCAAUUGGGCUUUAAACUAAAUCCCUAUUUCUGUGCAAACGGCUGAUUUGUUGACUCCUUCUAGAGUAAGGCUGGCUACAUGGAACCGUGAGAAGCUGAACUGUGGAGACAAGAACAGUAUUUUUUCCCCAAUGGUCAAGUUCUGUGGUGGCCUUCUGGAACAGAUUGAAUUACUUCCACAUCUUCUGAUGUAUUUUUUUCCCUUUGCUCUCUAAAACUAGAAGUAACAUUUAAAAAUCAUGUCCAUUUCAAAGUUAAAAUAUCUUCAUUUUCUUCAUUUUAAAGGUUCUUUUUUUUUUCUGAUUCUGUGCUUCAGUGAACACGUUUAUUUCCAAGCACCAAGAGCAACAGGAGCUCCUUCAGACUGUAUCAGCUUACAAGCCAGUGUGCAAAGACAGGAUGAAAAACCACAGGCUUAUGGGAUGCUUCCUGAUCCAUGGGACUUGUACUAUCCAAGAUACCAUCAGAAUGUUUUUCCAUAGUGUUUUCAGGUAAACAUGUAAAGGCUAGGACAAGAAGACAGCACUGCACCAAACCCAUGUGAAGGAAAGUGUUUGGAGGCAUAUCUUACUGUAGCCCCACUGCGUUUCAGAGACCCGCGGCAUCUCUUUAGCAUUCACGGCUUCCAAAGCAGACUGAAGACCCUGCUCAUUCCUUCACUGAUAUUACAAACACCUUCUUCAGAUUUCUGAAAUGACCAGAGGCUCCCUAGGGCUCCUCCAGGCCUUCACAACCAGAUUGGGACUUGGAGACUGAACCAACAUUGGGUUCAUGACUCUUGGGUUAUCUGGCAUGAUACACAUUUUCUUCUAUAACUCUGAAUGUAUGUAAAUGAGUGUAAUAAAUACUCUUUUAAUAUGUGUCUUUGUUAGGGUUUUAUUUCUAUGAAGAGAGACCAUGACCACAGCAACUCUUAUAUAAAGGAAACCAUCUAAUUGGGGCUGGCUUACAGGUUUCAGAGGUUUAGUCCAUUAUUCCCAUGUUGGGAAGCACAGCAGCAUGCAGGCAGACAUGCUGGAGAAGAGGGCAAGAGUUGUACAUCUGGAUCAGCAGGC